UGAGUAACCUGCCCUUGACUCUGGGAUAAGCGUUGGAAACGACGUCUAACACCGGAUACGAGCUUCAGUCGCAUGACUAGGAGCUGGAAAGAAUUUCGGUCAAGGAUGGACUCGCGGCCUAUCAGCUAGUUGGUGAGGUAACGGCCCACCAAGGCGACGACGGGUAGCCGGCCUGAGAGGGUGACCGGCCACACUGGGACUGAGACACGGCCCAGACUCCGUACGGGGGGCAG
Molecule: ribosomal RNA, 233 nt
Filed under: uncultured bacterium
Lineage: Bacteria
Description: partial 16S ribosomal RNA
Rfam family: Bacterial small subunit ribosomal RNA
Source: RNAcentral